RNAcentral lists this ribosomal RNA (71 nucleotides) under Actinomycetota bacterium. RNAcentral's name for it is "Actinobacteria bacterium partial 16S ribosomal RNA". It matches the Rfam family "Bacterial small subunit ribosomal RNA", at positions 1 to 71 of the family's 1533-position model. The record is from RNAcentral. Lineage: Bacteria; Bacillati; Actinomycetota.
ACGUUGGAGAGUUUGAUCCUGGCUCAGGAUGAACGCUGGCGGCGUGCCUAAUGCAUGCAAGUCGAGCGACG